RNAcentral lists this ribosomal RNA (408 nucleotides) under uncultured bacterium. Its description in RNAcentral is "partial 16S ribosomal RNA". It matches the Rfam family "Bacterial small subunit ribosomal RNA", at positions 28 to 526 of the family's 1533-position model. The record is from RNAcentral.
GACGAACGCUGGCGGCGUGCUUAACACAUGCAAGUCGAGCGGAGUGACGAACGGGUGAGUAACACGUGGCUGACCCCCCCCGCACUUCGGGCAAAGCCAGGGGGACGCGGUUUACUACUGGAUAGUGGGGGAUGGGCUCGCGGCCUAUCAGCUUGUUGGUGGGGUAAUGGCCUACCAAGGCGGCGACGGGUAGCCGGCCUGGGAGGGUGGACGGCCACAUUGGGACUGAGGCACGGCCCAGACUCCUACGGGAGGCAGCAGUGGGGAAUAUUGCACAAUGGGGGGAAGCCUGAUGCAGCGACGCCGGGUGGGGGAUGACGGCCUUCGGGUUGUAAACUCCUUUCACCAUCGACGCGGUAGAUGGAGAAGAAGCACCGGCUAACUACGUGCCAGCAGCCGCGGUAAUUC